RNAcentral lists this ribosomal RNA (512 nucleotides) under uncultured Glomeraceae. RNAcentral describes it as "SSU rRNA". It matches the Rfam family "Eukaryotic small subunit ribosomal RNA", at positions 569 to 1083 of the family's 1831-position model. Lineage: Eukaryota; Fungi; Glomeromycota; Glomeromycetes; Glomerales; Glomeraceae. The record is from RNAcentral.
AGCAGCCGCGGUAAUUCCAGCUCCAAUAGCGUAUAUUAAAGUUGUUGCAGUUAAAAAGCUCGUAGUUGAAUUUCGAGAUCAGUACGCUGGUCGUGCCUUCGGUAUGUACUGGUGUCACUGGUUUCUCCCUUCUGAAGAACCGUUAUGUCAUUAAGUUGGUGUGGCGGGGAAUCAGGACUGUUACUUUGAAAAAUUAGAGUGUUUAAAGCAGGCUCGCGCUUGAAUACAUUAGCAUGGAAUAAUGAAAUAGGACGUUUGACCCUAUUUUGUUGGUUUCUAGGAUCGACGUAAUGAUUAAUAGGGAUAGUUGGGGGCAUUAGUAUUCAAUUGUCAGAGGUGAAAUUCUUGGAUUUAUUGAAGACUAACUACUGCGAAAGCAUUUGCCAAGGAUGUUUUCAUUAAUCAAGAACGAAAGUUAGGGGAUCGAAGACGAUCAGAUACCGUCGUAGUCUUAACCAUAAACUAUGCCGACUAGGGAUCGGGAUGAUUGUUUAAUUUUUUAAUGUACUCUA